AAAGAAAAGCACGGAAUAUGUUAAUAAACAGACAAAAGCCAACAAAUAAAUAAUAAACUAAUAAACCCUUCAAGCAACUCAAUGCAUAUUGGGAAUGAGCACCCUUCCUUAAGGACACGGCAAGGAACACAGACGCUAGGGCCUAGGCUUUGUGGGACUUACUAUCUAAUCCCCUUUCCACUCAAACACUGAUUGUUUGGGGAUUGUGAUCGCUUACUCCUUGAUGAUAAAGACCAUAAGCCUAAAUUACGGAAAAAAUAGGAAACUACAGAGAAAGAAAAUGGAGAAGAAAGUCAUGUCUUAUUUUUUCA
RNAcentral lists this long non-coding RNA (311 nucleotides) under Homo sapiens (human). RNAcentral describes it as "HSALNT0224045". The record is from RNAcentral. Lineage: Eukaryota; Metazoa; Chordata; Mammalia; Primates; Hominidae.